UACAGAGGUCCCAAGCGUUGUUCGGAUUCACUGGGCGUAAAGGGUGCGUAGGCGGCAUGAUAAGUUUGUUGUGAAAUCUCCAAGCUUAACUUGGAAAAUGCAAUGAAUACUGUCGUGCUAGAGUUUUGUAGGGGGGACUGGAAUUCUCGGUGUAGCAGUGAAAUGCGUAGAUAUCGAGAGGAACACCAGUGGCGAAGGCGAGUCCCUGGACAAAUACUGACGCUGAGGCACGAAAGCUAGGGGAGCAAACAGG
RNAcentral lists this ribosomal RNA (253 nucleotides) under uncultured bacterium. RNAcentral describes it as "partial 16S ribosomal RNA". It matches the Rfam family "Bacterial small subunit ribosomal RNA", at positions 524 to 776 of the family's 1533-position model. The record is from RNAcentral.